This is a long non-coding RNA of Symphalangus syndactylus (siamang), 333 nucleotides long. RefSeq lists it as uncharacterized. The record is from RefSeq and is a predicted model, not a curated record. Lineage: Eukaryota; Metazoa; Chordata; Mammalia; Primates; Hylobatidae.
UUUGGCCAGGGCUGAUGGAAGGCCAGGCCCCAAAGAUCCCUGAAGACAGGAACAGUCUUUCAUCUUCAGCAUCGAGCCUGAUGCCUGGCACACGAUUCUUCAGCUGUAGAACUGGCCCACUAUUUAAGUAUCCACAUUCAAGGAUAUGACCAAGCCUGCCAAUUAGUCCCUUGCUCCAACACCACCACCAAGCACCUUUCUUAUGGACUGAUCUAUCAAAGCUGUGUCUUCUGGCAUCAAAUCAUUUCAAGUACACAAGAUGGAGCUGCAAUAUUUCCUGUGGAAAGGGCACUGAGCUAGGAAUCAGCAGAUAGAUAAUUCAAACUAUGUGAC